GACGAACGCUGGCGGCGCGCCUAACACAUGCAAGUCGAACGGGGAAGUUAGCAAUAACUUUCUAGUGGCGAACGGGUGAGUAACGCGUAGACAACCAACCUUGUAAUGGGGGACAACACUUCGAAAGGAGUGCUAAUACCGCAUAAGCUCUUCGUGUCACAUGGCGUGAAGAGGAAAGGAGCUGUAAGGCUCCGUUAUAAGACGGGUCUGCGUCUGAUUAGCUAGUUGGAGGGGUAACGCCCACCAAGGCGACGAUCAGUAGCCGGUCUGAGAGGAUGAACGGCCACACUGGGACUGAGACACGGCCCAGACUCCUACGGGAGGCAGCAGUGGGGAAUCUUCCGCAAUGGACGAAAGUCUGACGGAGCGACGCCGCGUGAGUGAUGAAGGCCCUUGGGUCGUAAAGCUCUGUCAUUGGGGACGAACGAUCACAUCAGGAAAUGGGUUGAAGUGACGGUACCCAAGAAGGAAGCCACGGCUAACUACGUGCCAGCAGCCGCGGU
Molecule: ribosomal RNA, 503 nt
Filed under: uncultured bacterium
Lineage: Bacteria
Description: bacterial SSU rRNA
Rfam family: Bacterial small subunit ribosomal RNA
Source: RNAcentral